RNAcentral lists this ribosomal RNA (527 nucleotides) under uncultured bacterium. Its description in RNAcentral is "bacterial SSU rRNA". It matches the Rfam family "Bacterial small subunit ribosomal RNA", at positions 777 to 1290 of the family's 1533-position model. The record is from RNAcentral.
AAUAGAUACCCUGGUAGUCCUAGCCGUAAACGAUGAGCACUGGAUUGAAGGCCCCCUCAUAGGUUUUCAGUCGCAGAGAAAUUGUUUAGUGCUCCGCCUGGGGAGUAUGGUCGCAAGGCUGAAACUCAAAGGAAUUGACGGGGGCUCACACAAGCGGUGGAGGAUGUGGCUUAAUUCGAGGCUACGCGAAGAACCUUAUCCUGGUCUUGACAUACCUCUCUAAGUCGGUGAAAGCCGGCGAGUGGAGCAAUCCACAAUUAGUACAGGUGCUGCAUAGCUGUCGUCAGCUCGUGUCGUGAGAUGUCGGGUUAAGUCCCUUAACGAGCGAAACCCUUGUCCUUAGUUGCCAGCGCGCUCCUUCGGGGUGGUGGGGACUCAUAAGAGACUGCCGGGGUCAACUCGGAGGAAGGUGGGGAUGACGUCAAGUCAUCAUGCCCCUUAUGUCCAGGGCUUCACGCAUGCUACAAUGGCCGGUACAGACCGCUGCGAUCCCGUGAGGGGGAGCGAAUCGGAAAAAGCCGGUCUCU